Molecule: ribosomal RNA, 253 nt
Filed under: uncultured bacterium
Lineage: Bacteria
Description: partial 16S ribosomal RNA
Rfam family: Bacterial small subunit ribosomal RNA
Source: RNAcentral
GACGUAGGGGGCUAGCGUUGUCCGGAAUCAUUGGGCGUAAAGCGCGCGUAGGCGGCCCGGUAAGUCCGCUGUAAAAGUCAAAGGCUCAACCUUUGAAUGUCAGUGGAUACUGCCGGGCUAGAGUCCGGAAGAGGCGAGUGGAACUCCUGGUGUAGCGGUGGAAUGCGCAGAUAUCAGGAAGAACACCGACGGCGAAGGCAGCUCGCUGGGACGGUACUGACGCUGAGGCGCGAAAGCGUGGGGAGCGAACAGG